Molecule: ribosomal RNA, 253 nt
Filed under: uncultured bacterium
Lineage: Bacteria
Description: partial 16S ribosomal RNA
Rfam family: Bacterial small subunit ribosomal RNA
Source: RNAcentral
UACGUAGGGUGCAAGCGUUGUCCGGAAUUAUUGGGCGUAAAGAGCUCGUAGGCGGUUUGUCGCGUCUGCUGUGAAAACUGGAGGCUCAACCUCCAGCCUGCAGUGGGUACGGGCAGACUAGAGUGCGGUAGGGGAGAUUGGAAUUCCUGGUGUAGCGGUGGAAUGCGCAGAUAUCAGGAGGAACACCCGUGGCGAAAGCGGCUCUCUGGAACGGUACUGACGCUGAGACGCGAAAGCGUGGGGAGCGAACAGG